GUCCUUGCCUGUGGCAUCUUUCCUAGAUACUCCUUUGGUGCUUUGCCCAAAUGAACCCCCCAAAAUAAAGGAGGAUUAUCCCUCUGCUGCCCAUCUGCAUCCUGGCUCUUGGCUCCUGUUACAGCACUAGAUUUUGCAAACUUUGCUUCUGCAUACACCCCAGGCUGCCCAUUUGCUGCUGCAGCGUUGUUGCCUACUGCGACCCCAGGUGAGCCCCGGUUACCUGAAGCUGCUUCCUGGGAGUCUGGGCAGGUCAGGCUUGCGUUUGGUGAAGACUCUGGGGAUGCGGCACAGUGCAAACCAGCCAGAGAGGUAGGUGAGAUGGAGCUCAGGAGGUGCCGUGAAGAGGAUGGAGCCUGCAGAGCUCGUGGCAGGGGAGGGCCAUGUACCUUUUCAAAGGGGCUCUUAUUCAUCAGCCCUUUUGCUCCCAGGAAGACCCAGUUGUCCCGGAAGCCCAGCUUGCCCACGUGGCUGCUGCCCAGCUCCGUGAAAUAUGCCUGUACUUUGUCAUUCAUCCUGAAAGAGGGUAAGAAGGUGUCAAUGUGAUGCCAGGCUAUUACAUGCAUGUAAAAGGAGAGAGAAGCCAGUCUUGGAUGUGGAAGCAUUCGGAGAACUCCAGGCUUGAUGGUCUCAGGAAAAGCUGGGCUUUUACCACCCAGGCUGGCAAGUCUGGUCAAAGUCCACUUGACUUUAUCAUUAAAUACAUGACAGAGAAGCAACGGAAGUAGCCAGCAGCCAGCAGUGCUGGUGUGAGCCCUGGCUGGGAACCGCCAAGGAGCAGAAUGACUGUGCUUACCUCCGGAGUACAUGUCGAAUGAGUCGGUUUUCAGGAGCUGCCCAGUUGUUCCUGAAAAGUUAAAAUUGAGAACAGAGCACAGUGAGUUUGCACUGGGGUGGCUCUAGGCUUUGCCUGGCCAUGAGCCUGGGGUUUCUUGCAAAAUGCUUUGCCCUUCCCUCAGUGUGUUGUAUCUGCUGCAAUGGUGACUGUGUUGCUUGGAGGAGUUUGUGGAGCUGGUUGUGCAUGACCCAGGUGGGUUUCUUCCCUUCUCACUGGCAAUGCUUGCAACCAUAAUUGUGGCUGUGCUCCCCAUGAAGCACCAGAUGGAUGUGCU
Long non-coding RNA from Corvus hawaiiensis (hawaiian crow), 1112 nucleotides. RefSeq lists it as uncharacterized. The transcript has 3 exons. Lineage: Eukaryota; Metazoa; Chordata; Aves; Passeriformes; Corvidae. The record is from RefSeq and is a predicted model, not a curated record.